This 278-nucleotide long non-coding RNA is filed under the name Fukomys damarensis (Damara mole-rat). Its description in RNAcentral is "lncRNA (ENSFDAG00000032181.1)". The record is from RNAcentral. Lineage: Eukaryota; Metazoa; Chordata; Mammalia; Rodentia; Bathyergidae.
GCCGUAGGGAGAGAGGAGUGCUGCAGUCGGGAAUUAACGCGUUUGCAAAGCCUGGAGAGUGGCAGUUGGAAGGAGAGACGUGAAAGCACGAGGGGCUGAUGGGAGCAGGUGCGGGGUGGGUCCCUGAGGUGGAGGCUUCCGGAGGACGUGGAUCUGGCGGAGUCACAGCGCUGGAGCACCUGCUGGAAGCACAGGCCAGAAAACAGAAAUCAUCUUCUUGACCUAUCAAGCUGGUGAUUCCAGAAUCAGCCUCAAAAUAAUUGGAAAUGCUAUCAAGG